RNAcentral lists this long non-coding RNA (1203 nucleotides) under Cyanistes caeruleus (blue tit). RNAcentral's name for it is "lncRNA (ENSCCEG00000011504.1)". Lineage: Eukaryota; Metazoa; Chordata; Aves; Passeriformes; Paridae. The record is from RNAcentral.
AUGCUCCAGCCUCAGUCAGCAGCAGAGGGGAUUCUGUGGAAUGAGCUGAAAUCAGCUCAGAGUGGAACAGGACAGGGCAGAGGUGCCAGGGCAGGGCUCCUGGGGCAGCAGAAACUGCUCCUGCCUGCUGGGUCUGCACCUGCAGCCCCAGGGAGCAGCUCCAGGGAGCAGAGCUCGGCUCCAGGGAUAUUCCCAGAGCCAUUCCCAGAGCUCAGCUCCUUCCCAGAGCUCAGCUCCAGGGAUAUUCCCAGAGCCAUUCCCAGAGCUCAGCUCCAGAGCCAUUCCCAGAGCCAUUCCCAGAGCUCAGCUCCUUCCCAGAGCUCAGCUCCAGGGAUAUUCCCAGAGCUCAGCUCCAGGGAUAUUCCCAGGGCCAUUCCCAGGGCCAUUCCCAGGGCCAUUCCCAGAGCUCAGCUCCAGGGAUAUUCCCAGAGCCAUUCCCAGAGCUCAGCUCCAGGGAUAUUCCCAGAGCCAUUCCCAGAGCUCAGCUCCAGGGAUAUUCCCAGGGCCAUUCCCAGAGCUCAGCUCCUUCCCAGAGCUCAGCUCCAGGGAUAUUCCCAGGGCCAUUCCCAGAGCUCAGCUCCAGAGCCAUUCCCAGAGCUCAGCUCCAGGGAUAUUCCCAGAGCUCAGCUCCAGGGCCAUUCCCAGAGCUCAGCCCCAGGGAUAUUCCCAGAGCCAUUCCCAGAGCUCAGCCCCAGGGAUAUUCCCAGAGCCAUUCCCAGAGCUCAGCCCCAGGGAUAUUCCCAGGGCCAUUCCCAGGGCCAUUCCCAGAGCUCAGCUCCAGGGAUAUUCCCAGGGCCAUUCCCAGGGAUAUUCCCAGAGCUCAGCUCGGGUUGUCAGAGCAGCGCUCACACCCUGGGGCAAAACAAACACAGAGGGAAGCAACGGCCAGCAGGAACCAGCAAAGGACCCAAACAGGAGCCAAAUAACCUGACCUGUGCUGAGCAGGAUGAAGGAGACACAAGAAAAGGAGGAAAAUUCACUGCUGUACAUCACAGCUUGGGAUCAGCGUGCCUGGGGAACUCACCUGGAAAUCAGCACUCAAAGGAAAAUCCUUUCUGUUUAAACAUGUGGAAGAACAAGCAGCAGUGCAAGAUCCAGCCCUGCUGUCCUGUGCAAGUUUUCUUUCCUGAAAACACACAGGGCAGGUCUAUGGAAACUGCAUUAGGAGUGAGCUCCCACAGCCACCAGUCAGGAUUGCCUUGA